CUCAGGACGAACGCUGGCGGCGUGCCUAACACAUGCAAGUCGAGCGGGACAUACGACGGAGUCAAAGUUUCGGAUGGAGACGAAGAUGUAUGUUCUAGCGGCGGACGGGUGAGUAACGCGUGAGCAACCUGUCCCUUACAGGGGGAUAACACAGCGAAAGUUGUACUAAUACCGCAUGAGACCACGGGAGGACAUCCUCCAGGGGUCAAAGGAGCAAUCCGGUAAGGGGUGGGCUCGCGUCCGAUUAGAUAGUUGGUGAGGUAACGGCCCACCAAGUCGACGAUCGGUAGCCGACCUGAGAGGGUGAUCGGCCACAUUGGGACUGAGACACGGCCCAAACUCCUACGGGAGGCAGCAGUGGGGAAUAUUGGGCAAUGGGGGAAACCCUGACCCAGCAACGCCGCGUGAGGGAAGAAGGUUUUCGGAUCGUAAACCUCUGUCCUUGGUGAAGAGUGAGAGACGGUAGCCAAGGAGGAAGCCCCGGCUAACUACGUGCCAGCAGCGGC
RNAcentral lists this ribosomal RNA (506 nucleotides) under uncultured bacterium. Its description in RNAcentral is "bacterial SSU rRNA". It matches the Rfam family "Bacterial small subunit ribosomal RNA", at positions 23 to 518 of the family's 1533-position model. The record is from RNAcentral.